UGUGGUUCUCCAGUUUGCCUAGUUUUAUAAUUUUGUAGCCUGCUGCGAUUUCUGGCCUAUUGAUUAAUGGGUCUCUCUCUCUCUCCACCACCAGCGACCUUAAUCUUUUCUUAAUUGCUUUAAUGGCUGUUCGGCUUCCCUCUCGUGCCUUCCCCCACAAUGUUGUUGUUGCUAAGCUUUUGUGUCUUAACUUCAUUCUCCAACCGAGGACUUUGCAGGCGAGUGAAAGGUGAAUUCUCUCUUUGUUUACCCUUUUUUCCUUGUUUUUCUCUUUUGCUUUAUUUCUUCUUCAGCUGUUUUCACAUUUCUUAGCCAGUAUGGGGCAUUGUCUGAGGUAAUUGGGCAAAAACAGAAAAAUAAACAAAAAUAUAAUGAGGGGAGGUCAAGGACAAGGUCUCCCCUCAACCCCCCCAAGUGACCCCUGCACCUACUACAUCCGCAUCCAGUCUGGUCACUGCGCCUCCCUCUCUCUCUCUCCUGCCCCUCCAAGGCCAGCAGCUCCUCCCCCAGGCAGAGGGUGUCCAAGGUCUUCCUGGAAGCCAGACUGGGAUGGGCUGACUUUCACCUGACCUGGUUUGGGGCUGUCUCCUUCAUUAGGAAUAACUUCUCAGAGCUUCUUCAAAUAUGCUUUAUUCGUUUCUUCCUUCAUCGGUUUAUUUGCAAAGACUUAUUGAACGCUUACAGUGUGCCCGGCAUGCCAAGUACCAUGGGAAAGAACAAAUGAAGCUCAGGCCUUGAGCUGCAGUCACGCACAGGUCAAACUAGCAGAGGGGAAAGAGUACGGAACCCAGCAAUGCAUCAGGAGCUUUCGAGAGCUCCGAAUAGCAAAUACUGUGGGAGUUCUGAGACGGAGUUUCACUCUUGUCACCCAGACUGUAAUACAGUGGCACAAUCUCAGCUCACUGCAACCUCCACCUCCUGGAUUCAAGCAAUUCUCCUGCUUCAGCCUCCCAAGUAGCUGGGAUUACAGGCGCCCACCACCAUGCCCAGCUAAUUUUUGUAUUUUCAGUAGAGAUGGGUUUUCACCAUGUUGGCCAGGCUGGUCUCGAACUCCUGACCUCAGGUGAUCCACUUGCCUCGGCCUCUGAAAGUGCUGGAAUUACAGGCAUGAGCCACCGCACCUGGCUGUUGCAUUGUCUUCUGAUGGACCCUAUGGUGUCAGUGAACCCUGGGGGCAGGCCUGAGUCUUCUUCUGUACAUGAAUGGACAGAACCCAGG
Molecule: long non-coding RNA, 1218 nt
Filed under: Homo sapiens (human)
Lineage: Eukaryota; Metazoa; Chordata; Mammalia; Primates; Hominidae
Description: HSALNT0030956
Source: RNAcentral